This 372-nucleotide ribosomal RNA is filed under the name uncultured organism. Its description in RNAcentral is "bacterial SSU rRNA". It matches the Rfam family "Bacterial small subunit ribosomal RNA", at positions 526 to 896 of the family's 1533-position model. The record is from RNAcentral.
CGGGGGGAGCAAGCGUUGUUCGGAAUCACUGGGCGUAAAGGGCGUGUAGGCGGUCAAGUAAGUGGAAUGUGAAAGCCCCCGGCUCACCCGGGGAUCUGCAUCCCAAACUGCUUGGCUUGAGUACGGGAGAGGAUAGGGGAAUUCCUGGUGUAGCGGUGAAAUGCGUAGAUAUCAGGAGGAACACCGGUGGCGAAGGCGCCUAUCCGGCCCGAUACUGACGCUGAUGCGCGAAAGCUAGGGGAGCAAACGGGAUUAGAUACCCCGGUAGUCCUAGCCGUAAACGGUGAUCACUAGGUGUUGGAGGCAUCGACCCCUCCAGUGCCGCAGCUAACGCAUUAAGUGAUCCGCCUGGGGAGUACGGCCGCAAGGUUG